RNAcentral lists this ribosomal RNA (562 nucleotides) under uncultured bacterium. RNAcentral's name for it is "bacterial SSU rRNA". It matches the Rfam family "Bacterial small subunit ribosomal RNA", at positions 102 to 674 of the family's 1533-position model. The record is from RNAcentral.
AAGGGAGAGGAAUAAGUAGAAAUCUACCCUCGGAUCGGGGAUAGCGGCGGGAAACUGCCGGUAAUACCCGAUAACGUCUUUGGACCAAAGGUGUGAUUCCGUCUGAGGAUGAGUCUACUUCCUAUUAGCUAGUUGGCGGGGUAAUGGCCCACCAAGGCAACGAUGGGUAGCAGGUGUGAGAGCAUGACCUGCCUCAUUGGGACUGAGACACUGCCCAGACACCUACGGGUGGCUGCAGUCGAGAAUCUUCGGCAAUGGACGAAAGUCUGACCGAGCGACGCCGCGUGCGGGAUGAAGGCCUUCGGGUUGUAAACCGCUGUCGUAGGGGAACAAGUAUACGGGGGUUCUCCCCUGUGUUUGAGUGAUCCUAGGAGGAAGGAGAGGCUAAGCUCGUGCCAGCAGCCGCGGUAAGACGAGCUCUCCAAACGUUAUUCGGUAUCACUGGGCUUAAAGAGUUCGUAGGCGGUCUGGUAGGUGAGGUGUGAAAUCCCCCGGCUCAACCGGGGAACUGCGCUUCAAACCGCCGGACUUGAGGGAGACAGAGGUGGGCGGAACAGAUGGU